CAAGGAAUUUUCCGCAAUCGACGAAAGUCGGACGGAGCAACGCCGCGUGGGGGAAGAAGGCCCUAGGGUUGUAAACCCCUUUUGCGAGGGAAGAAGAUCUGACGGUACCUCGCGAAUAAGUCACGGCUAACUACGUGCCAGCAGCCGCGGUAAUACGUAGGUGGCGAACGUUGUCCGGAUUCACUGGGCGUAAAGCGCGCGCAGGCGGACCGAUAAGUCUGAGGUGAAAGCUCCCGGCUCAACUGGGAGAAGCCCUUGGAUACUGCCGGUCUUGAGACAUCUAGAGGAGAGUGGAAUUCCCGGUGUAGUGGUGGAAUGCGUAGAUAUCGGGAGGAACACCAGUGGCGAAAGCGGCUCUCUGGGGAUGUUCUGACGCUGAGGCGCGAAAGCGUGGGGAGCGAACCGGAUUAGAUACCCCCGUAGUCC
This 426-nucleotide ribosomal RNA is filed under the name uncultured bacterium. RNAcentral's name for it is "bacterial SSU rRNA". It matches the Rfam family "Bacterial small subunit ribosomal RNA", at positions 355 to 796 of the family's 1533-position model. The record is from RNAcentral.